This 485-nucleotide ribosomal RNA is filed under the name uncultured bacterium. Its description in RNAcentral is "partial 16S ribosomal RNA". It matches the Rfam family "Bacterial small subunit ribosomal RNA", at positions 29 to 523 of the family's 1533-position model. The record is from RNAcentral.
AGUGAACGCUGGCGGCGUGCUUAACACAUGCAAGUCGAACGAGAACGGAAUAUAGCUUGCUAUAUUUGUCAGCUAAGUGGCGCACGGGUGAGUAAUGUAUAGAUAACCUGCCCUUAAGAAAGGAAUAACAGUUGGAAACGACUGCUAAUGCCCUAUAUGCCUUUAAUACAUAAGUAUGCAAGGGAAACGCUUUAGUGCUUAAGGAUGGGUCUGUAUGGUAUCAGCUUGUUGGUGAGGAAAUGGCUAACCAAGGCUAUGACGCCUAACUGGUUUGAGAGGAUGAUCAGUCACACUGGAACUGAGACACGGUCCAGACUCCUACGGGAGGCAGCAGUGGGGAAUAUUGCACAAUGGACGAAAGUCUGAUGCAGCAACGCCGCGUGGAGGAUGACACAUUUCGGUGCGUAAACUCCUUUUAUAUAGGAAGAUAAUGACGGUACUAUAUGAAUAAGCACCGGCUAACUCCGUGCCAGCCGCCGCGGUAA